RNAcentral lists this ribosomal RNA (253 nucleotides) under uncultured bacterium. RNAcentral's name for it is "partial 16S ribosomal RNA". It matches the Rfam family "Bacterial small subunit ribosomal RNA", at positions 524 to 776 of the family's 1533-position model. The record is from RNAcentral.
UACGUAGGGUGCAAGCGUUAAUCGGAAUUACUGGGCGUAAAGCGUGCGCAGGCGGUUUACUAAGACAGGUGUGAAAUCCCCGGGCUUAACCUGGGAACUGCAUCUGUGACUAGUAGACUAGAGUUUGGCAGAGGGGGGUGGAAUUCCUGGUGUAGCAGUGAAAUGCGUAGAUAUCAGGAGGAACACCGAUGGCGAAGGCAGCCCCCUGGGCCACCACUGACGCUCAUGCACGAAAGCGUGGGGAGCAAACAGG